Molecule: ribosomal RNA, 253 nt
Filed under: uncultured bacterium
Lineage: Bacteria
Description: partial 16S ribosomal RNA
Rfam family: Bacterial small subunit ribosomal RNA
Source: RNAcentral
UACAGGGGGGGCAAGCGUUGUUCGGAAUUACUGGGCGUAAAGGGCGCGUAGGCGGCCCGCUAAGUCGAACGUGAAAUCCCUGGGCUCAACCCAGGAACUGCGUCCGAUACUGGCAGGCUUGAAUCCGGGAGAGGGAUGCGGAAUUCCAGGUGUAGCGGUGAAAUGCGUAGAUAUCUGGAGGAACACCGGUGGCGAAGGCGGCAUCCUGGACCGGCAUUGACGCUGAGGCGCGAAAGCGUGGGGAGCGAACAGG